GACGAACGCUGGCGGCAUGCCUAACACAUGCAAGUCUAGGGGUAGCAAUACCACUGGCGCACGGGUGAGUAACACGUAGGUUAUCUGCCCCCAUCACAGACAUAACCCCGGGAAACCGGGGCUAAUAUCUGAUGAGGUCGCGAGAUCAAAGCUUCGGCGGAUGGGGAUGAGCCUGCGGCUGAUUAGCUAGUUGGUGAGGUAAUGGCUCACCAAGGCGACGAUCAGUAGCUGGUCUGAGAGGACGAACAGCCACACUGGAACUGAGACACGGUCCAGACUCCUACGGGAGGCAGCAGUGAGGAAUAUUGGUCAAUGGGAGCAAUCCUGAACCAGCAAUGCCGCGUGUGGGAUGACAGGGCUUCGCCUUGUAAACCACUGUCGGACGGGACGAAAGGAGGCCUCGGGCCUCUGGGACGGUACCGUCAAAGGAAGGAUCGGCUAACUACGUGCCAGCAGCCGCGGUAA
Molecule: ribosomal RNA, 465 nt
Filed under: uncultured bacterium
Lineage: Bacteria
Description: bacterial SSU rRNA
Rfam family: Bacterial small subunit ribosomal RNA
Source: RNAcentral